RNAcentral lists this ribosomal RNA (1361 nucleotides) under uncultured bacterium. RNAcentral describes it as "partial 16S ribosomal RNA". It matches the Rfam family "Bacterial small subunit ribosomal RNA". The record is from RNAcentral.
AGAGUUUGAUCCUGGCUCAGGACGAACGCUGGCGGCGUGCCUAACACAUGCAAGUCGAGCGAUUCUCUUCGGAGAAGAGCGGCGGACGGGUGAGUAACGCGUGGGUAACCUGCCCUGUACACACGGAUAACAUACCGAAAGGUAUGCUAAUACGGGAUAAUAUAUAAGAGUCGCAUGACUUUUAUAUCAAAGAUUUUUCGGUACAGGAUGGACCCGCGUCUGAUUAGCUUGUUGGCGGGGUAACGGCCCACCAAGGCGACGAUCAGUAGCCGACCUGAGAGGGUGAUCGGCCACAUUGGAACUGAGACACGGUCCAAACUCCUACGGGAGGCAGCAGUGGGGAAUAUUGCACAAUGGGCGCAAGCCUGAUGCAGCAACGCCGCGUGAGCGAUGAAGGCCUUCGGGUCGUAAAGCUCUGUCCUCAAGGAAGAUAAUGACGGUACUUGAGGAGGAAGCCCCGGCUAACUACAUGCCAGCAGCCGCGGUAAUACGUAUGUCGCAAGCGUUAUCCGGAUUUAUUGGGCGUAAAGCGCGUCUAGGUGGUUUGGUAAGUCUGAUGUGAAAAUGCGGGGCUCAACUCCGUAUUGCGUUGGAAACUGCCAAACUAGAGUACUGGAGAGGUAGGCGGAACUACAAGUGUAGAGGUGAAAUUCGUAGAUAUUUGUAGGAAUGCCGAUGGGGAAGCCAGCCUACUGGACAGAUACUGACGCUAAAGCGCGAAAGCGUGGGUAGCAAACAGGAUUAGAUACCCUGGUAGUCCACGCCGUAAACGAUGAUUACUAGGUGUUGGGGGUCGAACCUCAGCGCCCAAGCUAACGCGAUAAGUAAUCCGCCUGGGGAGUACGUACGCAAGUAUGAAACUCAAAGGAGUUGACGGGGACCCGCACAAGCGGUGGAGCAUGUGGUUUAAUUCGACGCAACGCGAGGAACCUUACCAGCGUUUGACAUCCUAGGAAUGAGAAAGAGAUUUCUUAGUGCUCCUUCGGGAGAACCUAGAGACAGGUGGUGCAUGGCUGUCGUCAGCUCGUGUCGUGAGAUGUUGGGUUAAGUCCCGCAACGAGCGCAACCCCUAUUGUAUGUUGCCAUCAUUAAGUUGGGCACUCAUGCGAUACUGCCUGCGAUGAGCAGGAGGAAGGUGGGGAUGACGUCAAGUCAUCAUGCCCCUUAUACGCUGGGCUACACACGUGCUACAAUGGGCAGUACAGAGAGAAGCAAUACCGCGAGGUGGAGCCAAACUUAAAAACCAGUCUCAGUUCGGAUUGUAGGCUGAAACUCGCCUACAUGAAGCUGGAGUUACUAGUAAUCGCGAAUCAGAAUGUCGCGGUGAAUACGUACCCGGGUCUUGUACACACCGCCCGUCA